UUUAGAUACCGUAUCACCCUGAGAAUGCCGAAUCUCAUCUGAUCAUGGAAGCUAUACAGUAUCAGGCCUGGUUAGUACUUGAAUGGGAGACUACCUGGGAAUACCAGGUGCUCUAGGC
Molecule: non-coding RNA, 118 nt
Organism: Taeniopygia guttata (zebra finch)
Lineage: Eukaryota; Metazoa; Chordata; Aves; Passeriformes; Estrildidae
Source: Rfam